Molecule: long non-coding RNA, 5115 nt
Organism: Heterocephalus glaber (naked mole-rat)
Lineage: Eukaryota; Metazoa; Chordata; Mammalia; Rodentia; Bathyergidae
Source: RefSeq, a predicted model, not a curated record
CUGUGGCUCUGUUGACUUCCUGGGGAGGGCCAGGGAUCGAUUAAGGAAUGUAUUUCUCUCUUGCAGGACCGGAAAUAUGUGGGUGGUGGAAAAGAAACAAGGCUUGAAAUGCACUGAGCUGGAAGAGCAUCUGUGGAAAAUUCAUCCAAUCACCAAAUGUAGGAGAAUGUCUCCCGACCCUCUGUGGGAGGCAGCUGGAGAUACUUCCUGAGGUAGAGCAGGUUUCCUCAGCCUCUGCACUCCUCACACUCUGGGCUGGAUACGUCUGUUUUGGGGAGGAGAGGAGAGCUGUCCUGUGGAUUGUCAGAUGUUUGGUGGUAUUCUUGGCUUUUACCCCAGCGCCAGUACCACCUACCCUCACCCUUCCAGCUGUGACCAUCGCAGAUGUCUCCAGACAUGGCCAAAUGUCCCCUGGGUGGCAACAUAAUGUCACUGCUCGCUGAGAUCUACUGGCUCCAAGAAUCAAGAGAGGCAGAGUGGGUCUGUGGGAGCAGGAUAGUAAAAGAUGUCUCCGGGUUUGCUGGAACUUUUGCAUUCUUUUCUCCUGAAAACCUUCCAAGACCCUUGGGCAAGUUUGGAUCUGCAAGCCUUGACUUCCUCAUUGGUAAAAUGGGGAUACAACCAAAGCUACCCCAUAUAAAGAGAUCUAUGCCAAGUGCUUGUCACGGGUCACAGUGUCUGGCACAUUCUGAAUACUCAGCAAGUGUUAGACACACACACACACACACACACACACACACACACACACACCCCACACAACCUGUCAAGCACACAUCAGAGCAGUUGACUUUCUGGCAGAAAAUGUGGCGAUGGCUAUCUUUUUUAAGAGUUUAAAGAGAUCCAUGUUAUUGUGAGUUAUUCAAGACAACAGUAAUAAAUAGACCAGCAAGACGAACUGCCUUUUAUAGAAAGAGGGAGGCAGUGUUUAAUAACUAGGCAUAAGAGAGCAAUUUCUCCACUCUCAAGAAGACAGGAUAAACCACUCACUAUAGACAUUAAUUGUAUUAUUCCUAACCUUCCCUACAUUCACUUAAAGUAGGUAUUACUUUUCCUAAUUUUAGCAUAAAGAAAUAAAGUGCAGAGAGGGUAAGUCACUGUUUCAAGGUCAGAGUGCAAAGAAGUUGUUAAUGCAGGAGUCCAGCCCACACACGGUCGGAUUCCAACUCUAUCUUCCACAGUUGUGCUAUAGAAGGGAAAGGGAAUAGAGCAGAAAUGACCUGGGAAAGAUGGUGAAGGAGACACUGGGCCAGAGAAAAACCCAGGCCUGACAGACAGAGCUCAGCACAGGGAGCUGAGACUCCCUGACAAAGAGUAGACCUCAUCUUUACGUGUUCUGCCUUUGUUUCUAAAGGGAAAUCAAGCAGGAGAGAGAGGAGGCAGAUGUUGAGAAUUCAGCUGGAGUAGGUGUGUUGUUGAGAAGAGGAACUGUUUUGUGCUGUCUACACAGCUGAGCGUGGGGUGCUGAGCAUGAAGCCCUAAUUUAGGCUGUAGAAACCUAGCCAGCAGGGUCCUGUUGGCAGAAUGUUGAGGAGGUUUAAAGGAGAAGGGCCAGGAAAGACAGAAGAGAGUUUUUGAAUUCAACUUUGGCUAAAAAACCAAUUAUCUGGAAGAAACGCAUACUGUCAUGUGUCCAUUUGGGUGCUCGAUCUUUCAGCUGACCUGCCAGGUUGGCUGAAAGGUUAUUCUACUAGUUUUCCCUGGACUUCCCUCUUUGACUGUUCAAGUUGGGCUGUCACGACAGGGAUCAGUGCUUUACACAAGUCCCAGGGAACUCUCUUGUCUCUGCCAUCUGAGGACUCACCAAGAAGAAGGAAUCAUCUAUGGACCAGGGGCAGCCCUCCAUCAGACACUGAACCUGCUGGCUUCUGGAUCUAGGACAUCCCAGCUUUCAGAGUUGUUGUCUGUGGAAUGUGGAUUCACCUUACAGAAAAUCAGGCCCAAGCAGGCAAGAAUGGCACCUCCAGAUGCCAACCUAGGGAGUUAAACAGUCUUCAAUUCCUUAGACCUGCUAUAAUUGAGAACAUCCUCCUCUCUGUUUUCCUCCUGCCCACUUGCUGCUCCCUAGAGGGGGACCUGUUUCUAAGAAGCCUGGGAAGGCUUCAUAGGAAUUGGAUGUACAGUGUUUUGAAGGAGAAAAACCCAGGUGUUUGAGAUUUCUAUCCAGGAAAGAAUUGACUAGUGGCUUUUGUUCACUCAAAAGCAUUUUCUAAUUGUUUAAAGGUUAUCAUGACAUGGCUUGUAUGUGACUGCAUCCCCUCAUCUUUCUUGAGCACUAUUUUGAAGAGUCCAUCUCUAUAUUCAAAGGCUCAUGCAUCAGUGCAGUUCCUUUAUGGGUAACGCAGGAAGCCUGGAGAGAGAGUGUGGGGUUCUUAGCAGCAUUUCCUACCAGCCAGGCUGGGCGCUCACUCGAAUGCAGACAUGCAGAGCAUUUUCCUUCUAUGUAAAUAUCUAAUCUACACCAGGGCCAUCAUCUGACUGCUUUCAUUGCCCUCAGAUCUUGGAAAGUCAUUUUAAGGUAGAGAUCAUUUGGCAGUUCUAUUAAAGAAGUUGGUCUCAUAUCAAGAAGUAGCAAUUCGAACAUAGCUCUGAAGUUUUUUUUCCUGUGAGUGUUAUAAAAGAUCAACUCAAAGUAGGUUAAGCAGGCAAAGAGAUUUAACAGAAUAUAAGAGUUUCUCAUAUAAGUAGAGGAGGGGUUGAACAAAUAGAAGGAUGCAAGUCUACUCAAGGAAAAAUUUUAUCUCUGCUUCUCUCUACCCAUAAUCACAACAAACUGGCCCACACUUUACAGCUCUCCAUUUACACAACUAGAACAGGACUCAGUUUUUCAUUGGAGGCAAAGUAAAAUGAAGUACCAGGGAAGUGCUGUGAUUGGUUUAUUUGGGUAGAGCUCGCUCCUGGAUCCAAGAGCAGAAGCUGUUUCCUUGAUAGUUUAUCCAAUUAUGUUGAAAUUUUUGAGCCUAAGAAAGUCAGCUCUUCUUUUGUGUACUGCAAAUCAUGAUUAUUUUGUUGUGCAUGCAUCUCUUUCAGAAAAACUUAAAGCUUUAAGUAUGAUGUUUAGUUCCUUUGACAGAAUCUUUCAGGAAAAAGUAGAAAUAACCACCUCAACAAAAAGUCUGCUAUUCCAAUUUUAUUAAAAUGAGUCAAAUAUUCUGCAUAAGAUCCUGUGCUGUUACUGUGUGAGGGAUUUUUAGUGCUAUCAAUCUGUAGAUUUAAUAACCACUGUUUAAAUAUGUAUAUCUAGCAUAGAAAUUUGUUUUGUUUUAAAUAUACCUUUCUUUUUGGUAUCAGGAAUGGAACUCAGGGCCUCACACUUGCGAGGUGGGUGCUGUGCCACUGAGCUACAUCCCCAGCCCUUAAACACAUCUUUUAUUUGUUGAGUUGCAACUGAAGUUUUAAGGGAGAAGCUGAUAAAAGUUAUGGCCCCACAUUUAAAAAGUGAGGCAGCACUGGUACUUUGUGCUAUAUCCCUCAAAAAGGUAAAUGUUGAAGAACAUAUCUGCUUCUAUCAUUCUGCUCAGUUUUGUUGCACUUAAUCAUCACUUAUUGGAGCAAAUUUCUUCACUUAUCCUCUUCAUCCUCCAGUCCUGGUUUCCUGGGGGAGCUAGCACUCACUCCUUCAGGGAUACUUAUGUACUGCCUUUGAAGACUGGAGAAAGAAGCAGAAAGAUUAAGCAGAAAACCUGAAUCUCUUGCUGGAACCUAAGGCAGAGGGUGAAAUAUAGUGGCCUGGAUCCAAAUGUAGACUUUGAUUACUUGCUGUGUGAUGCUGAAUAUAAUAGUCAAUAUUGUAAAGUUUUGACUAUCUGCUUUGUAAAAUUGGGAUGAUGAUGUGACACAGAGUAGCUUUGACUACUAAAAUAGAUCAUUUAUGUAAAGUGCUUGGCAUGUGAUUACUUAGUGAGAGUUCUGCUUGGAGCCUACCAUAGUCUGACCUCAUUUUCUCAUCUGUCUCUGUUCUUGGGUCCCUUUGCUUCCCCAGCACACACCCACCCACAUCGAUCACUAGAAGUUGGGCUGAUGCCACAUAGCCUGCAGCCUCUCUUCUGUCACUAUUGCUGUUAUAUGACUACGUAGUCACUGUAGAUUGGUUGGUCUCAGGCAGGAAGGACACUCAUGUGACAUCUUAUGGGUCUGGACUUGAGGUGACCAGUUUGCCUUGAUCAGAAUGCUCUUCUCCUUUAAAGGCUAUGACUUGUAAGUGUCCUGAUUCUUUCUUUUGCCUUCCAUAUGUAAAUGUAUAUUCAUUCCAAACACCCUCAUUUUUAAAAGAACUUUUCUUAGAAAGAAGAAAGAGUGUUCAAUAAAGCAACAACACAGAUAAAAGGUCACUGUCUUUGGAGUAACAGAAGCUGGCUAACCUGUCCAUGGCUGGUGAAUCCUGUCUAUGGUUGGCAUGGCUUCUAGAGGGUGACAGAAAAGAGAACCAAUUGGCAAUCAGAAAUAGUGCCAUACAACCACUCAGGCACCAAAGUGCUAUGAAUGUCAAGUGCAACAUAUUUGCUGAGGCAGAAUCAGAGUCCAGCCAAACUCUAGACCAUGCCAAGUAAGGAUGAAAUAUUACUAUUGUUUUUGCUGCUCAUGAAUAUCCAGUUUUUCUGAGGUGAUAUUUGUGCUAGUAUACGAGGGAAACAAACAUGUCUUUGGCCUUCUCUGGUUCUUGGAAUCAAGCUUGGUAUUACAACAGAAGAGCCCAAAGUCAUACUAAUUGUCUACGUAUACCAACAUAUGUAGAUGCCAGGAAGAGAAUCCAUCAAGGAAGGCCCACGAUUAGAUGAUGAUGAAUACCAUGUACAGCUUGGCCUGCAGGGCUCCUAGAUGGUCACCAGUCCUGUCCUUUCCUGGGCAGCUGAGGGAAUGGCAGUGACCAGCUGCUUCUGGAGAUUCUAAUCUAACUUCCUGAGAAUUUGCACAACUGCUCUGGACAGCAACUCUAGCCUGAGUGACACUUCUGAACUCAAUGUGCCUUUUGCUGAAUACUGUAUGUUAUGUUAGCUGAGGAUUCCAUCACCAGGCCGAGGGCCAAGGACAAUCCUAUUUCUGUUCAGAAGAGUCAAGAGCUCUUUCCAUUUAAUCCUGUCUCAGAUAACAAUCAGAUGAUUUAAUCCAUAAAAAUAA